ACAUUGGGAAAGGUGCCGAAGACAUGAACUUUGGUCUUCUCUGCAAUCCCUCUGGAGCAUUCAGUGACAACGUCGACUUUGAAGUUGCACUGACCUGGCCAGCCCUGCCACUUACCAGGUUGGCAUCUGGCAUCUUUCUUGACAUACGUAGCAGUUGCUUUUUGACAGCUUGCUUCUGGAGUGAAUGAAUAAAUUAAUAAAUUUAUUCAUUUGAUAUUCAGUGACAUGUGAUAUUCAGUGAUCCAUUUUGCAGAUAACACUAACAAAGUUGACCUUAGAAUUGGAGUGCCCGGGUUAGAACCUUGCUGGUACCACCUGCUUACUGCAUGCUUCUGAUGUGAGUUCAGGAGAAGCCACUGGCAAGGACAGCAAAGAACAGGAGAACACUCUAGCUUCCCUGAUAGCAUUCAAGGUGCUGUCCAAACUGACUGUGAUGGCACCCUCCAGACAGACAGCGAUGCCACAUGUUCAAGAUGGCAGAAUCACUAACAGCUUCAAUUCCUGAAUGACUGCAGAGCAAAAUUUCUUACCCGCAACAUACACUCUAUUUUCAGCCUCCCUGGACUGUUACAUAAUGAUACAUAAAAAUAUUUCUUGUGUUGAGGCAUCCCAAAUUUGAUCUAUUUGUCAUCACAGUUUAUCCUACGAAUAUAUUUCUGAUCCAAAUAAUGCUAGAUUCAUGAGAGUUUAUAGUCCAGAGAUUUUUUUUUUUUUUUUUUUUUGAGACAGAAUCUCACUGUCUGCCAGGCUGGGGUGCAGUGGCAUAAUCUUAGCUCACUGCAACCUCCGCCUCCUGGGCUCAAGUGAUCCUCCCUCCUUAGCCUCCAUGAAUAGCUGGGACCACAGGUGUGCACCACCCCACCCAGCUAAUUAUUUUGUAUUUUUUGCAGAGACGGGGUUUCACCACAUUGCCCAAGCUGGUCUCAAACUCCUAGACUUAAGGGAUCUUCCCGCCUUGGCCUCCCAAAAUGCUGAAAUUACAUGUGUUAGCCAUAGUAAUAGUUCCUAGCCAUAGUCCAGAGAUAUUUUAAAAACUUUAGUGUGAGUUAUUUCUCUUUGCUAUAAUUCUCUCAUGCAUUUUGAAAACCUUUUCUGCCAUACAGUGGUUUUUGGGAAGUCCUUUUGGACAGACAUAUCACAGGAUGGAGAAACUAAAAAGAGAGAGAAUGCAUUAAAGAAAAAAUAGUACUUCAUAUUUCAGAAAUUACAAAAGGUUGUCAUGCCCCACAGCAUGGUGGGCAGUCAUUUGUAACCCACAGAACAUUGAGUUUCUAAAAUUUGAGUGUUUUUUAACUUACGAAGGCCAACUUUACUGAUGAAGUGGUUACCCCAAAUAUGUGAAAUCCAUAUUUCAAGCACAAUAGCAGGAAAUCGGAAAUGGGCUCUUGAGUUUCUGCUUUCAAGUGACCCUCAGAAAUGCCCCCAUUCACUGCAGAGGUUCUGUUUCUCCUUGUUUUGUUCCGACUUUAUGGCAGAACUAGGUUAAUGAGUUAAUUACUAUGAGUUAUCACUUGGAUUUGAAGAACCAUCAUUUCUAGGCUUUGCUGCUCAGAGUGGGUUUGCCCUCAGGGGAAGCUAUCUAACCAGAGCCUAACCCACUAGGGUUUUAUCAGAACCUAACUGGCCUGAGGAAAAGAAAUAUUCAACUCCAGCAAGCUCCAGCCUUCCAAACGGAGGAGGAGAAAACCCAAAUCCAGCCCACUUCAGCUAUCUUGUCCCACAUAAAGGGGGAGUGGAAGAAACGUGAGAAGCAGGCAUGAAGUUCACAGUCCGGAGGUACAGACACAUCAGAGUUCAGUAUCUGAUGAAUUAGAUGCAAAAUCCUCAACAAAGUAUUAGCAAAUUGAAUUCAACAAUGUAUGAAAAUUAUUACAUGCCAUGACUAAUUGGAAUUUAUCUCAGGUAUACAAGCCAUGCUGAACAUCUGAAAAUCAAUUCAUGUGAUCCAUCACAUUAGCAGAUUCAAGAAAAAAAAAACCACAUUAUCAUAUCAGUAGAUGUAGAAAAAAAAAAUUAACAAAAUCCAGCACGCAUUCACAAUGAAAAUGCUCAGUAAAUUAGAAAUAGAAGGUAACUUCCUCAACUUGACAAGGAAUAUCUCUAAAAACCUACAACUAAAAUCAUACUUAAUGGUAAAAAACUAGAAGCCUUCCCAGUAAGAGUAAGAACAAGGCAAAGAUGUAUGCUCUCACCACUCCUUUUCAACAUCAUAUUGGAAGUCCUAGCUAGUGCAAUAAGCAAAAAAAAAAAAAAAA
Molecule: long non-coding RNA, 2255 nt
Filed under: Pongo abelii (Sumatran orangutan)
Lineage: Eukaryota; Metazoa; Chordata; Mammalia; Primates; Hominidae
Description: lincRNA
Source: RNAcentral